GGUUAAGCGACUAAGCGUACACGGUGGAUGCCUAGGCAGUCAGAGGCGAUGAAGGGCGUGCUAAUCUGCGAAAAGCGUCGGUAAGCUGAUAUGAAGCGUAAUAACCGACGAUACCCGAAUGGGGAAACCCAGUGCAAUUCGUUGCACUAUUGCAUGGUGAAUACAUAGCCAUGCAAGGCGAACCGGGGGAACUGAAACAUCUAAGUACCCCGAGGAAAAGAAAUCAACCGAGAUUCCCCCAGUAGCGGCGAGCGAACGGGGAAGAGCCCAGAGUCUGAAUCAGUUGGUGUGUUAGUGGAAGCGUCUGGAAAGUCGCACGGUACAGGGUGAUAGUCCCGUACACAAAAACACACUGGCUGUGAACUCGAUGAGUAGGGCGGGACACGUGACAUCCUGUCUGAAUAUGGGGGGACCAUCCUCCAAGGCUAAAUACUCCUGACUGACCGAUAGUGAACCAGUACCGUGAGGGAAAGGCGAAAAGAACCCCGGCGAGGGGAGUGAAAUAGAACCUGAAACCGUGUACGUACAAGCAGUGGGAGCACCUUCGUGGUGUGACUGCGUACCUUUUGUAUAAUGGGUCAGCGACUUAUAUUUUGUAGCAAGGUUAACCGAAUAGGGGAGCCGUAGGGAAACCGAGUCUUAACUGGGCGUCUAGUUGCAAGGUAUAGACCCGAAACCCGGUGAUCUAGCCAUGGGCAGGUUGAAGGUUGGGUAACACUAACUGGAGGACCGAACCGACUAAUGUUGAAAAAUUAGCGGAUGACUUGUGGCUGGGGGUGAAAGGCCAAUCAAACCGGGAGAUAGCUGGUUCUCCCCGAAAGCUAUUUAGGUAGCGCCUCGUGAACUCAUCUUCGGGGGUAGAGCACUGUUUCGGCUAGGGGUCCAUCCCGGAUUACCAAACCGAUGCAAACUCCGAAUACCGAAGAAUGUUAUCACGGGAGACACACGGCGGGUGCUAACGUCCGUCGUGAAGAGGGAAACAACCCAGACCGCCAGCUAAGGUCCCAAAGUCAUGGUUAAGUGGGAAACGAUGUGGGAAGGCAUAGACAGCCAGGAUGUUGGCUUAGAAGCAGCCAUCAUUUAAAGAAAGCGUAAUAGCUCACUGGUCGAGUCGGCCUGCGCGGAAGAUGUAACGGGGCUAAACCAUGCACCGAAGCUGCGGCAGCGACGCUUAGGCGUUGUUGGGUAGGGGAGCGUUCUGUAAGCCGUUGAAGGUGGCCUGUGAGGGCUGCUGGAGGUAUCAGAAGUGCGAAUGCUGACAUAAGUAACGAUAAUGCGGGUGAAAAACCCGCACGCCGGAAGACCAAGGGUUCCUGUCCAACGUUAAUCGGGGCAGGGUGAGUCGACCCCUAAGGCGAGGCUGAAAAGCGUAGUCGAUGGGAAACAGGUUAAUAUUCCUGUACUGGGUGUGACUGCGAAGGGGGGACGGAGAAGGCUAGGCUAGCCGGGCGACGGUUGUCCCGGUUUAAGCAUGUAGGCGGAGUGACUUGGUAAAUCCGGUUGCUUAUCAACGCUGAGGUGUGAUGACGAGCCACUACGGUGGUGAAGUAGUUGAUGCCAAGCUUCCAGGAAAAGCCUCUAAGCAUCAGGUGACAUUCAAUCGUACCCCAAACCGACACAGGUGGUCAGGUAGAGAAUACUCAGGCGCUUGAGAGAACUCGGGUGAAGGAACUAGGCAAAAUGGUGCCGUAACUUCGGGAGAAGGCACGCUGGCAUUAGGUAAAGAGACUUGCUCUCGGCGCCGAAGCCAGUCGCAGAUACCAGCUGGCUGCAACUGUUUAAUAAAAACACAGCACUGUGCAAACACGAAAGUGGACGUAUACGGUGUGACGCCUGCCCGGUGCUGGAAGGUUAAUUGAUGGGGUCAGCCGCAAGGCGAAGCUCUUGAUCGAAGCCCCAGUAAACGGCGGCCGUAACUAUAACGGUCCUAAGGUAGCGAAAUUCCUUGUCGGGUAAGUUCCGACCUGCACGAAUGGCGUAAUGAUGGCCAGGCUGUCUCCACCCGAGACUCAGUGAAAUUGAACUCGCUGUGAAGAUGCAGUGUACCCGCGGCAAGACGGAAAGACCCCGUGAACCUUUACUAUAGCUUGACACUGAAUAUUGAGCCUUGAUGUGUAGGAUAGGUGGGAGGCAUCGAAGCGUGGACGCCAGUCUGCGUGGAGCCAACCUUGAAAUACCACCCUUUAAUGUUUGAUGUUCUAACUCGGCCCCAUAAUCUGGGGUGAGGACAGUGUCUGGUGGGUAGUUUGACUGGGGCGGUCUCCUCCCAAAGAGUAACGGAGGAGCACGAAGGUUAGCUAAUCACGGUCGGACAUCGUGAGGUUAGUGCAAAGGCAUAAGCUAGCUUGACUGCGAGAGUGACGGCUCGAGCAGGUACGAAAGUAGGUCUUAGUGAUCCGGUGGUUCUGAAUGGAAGGGCCAUCGCUCAACGGAUAAAAGGUACUCCGGGGAUAACAGGCUGAUACCGCCCAAGAGUUCAUAUCGACGGCGGUGUUUGGCACCUCGAUGUCGGCUCAUCACAUCCUGGGGCUGAAGUAGGUCCCAAGGGUAUGGCUGUUCGCCAUUUAAAGUGGUACGCGAGCUGGGUUUAGAACGUCGUGAGACAGUUCGGUCCCUAUCUGCCGUGGGCGUUGGAAGAUUGAGAGGGGCUGCUCCUAGUACGAGAGGACCGGAGUGGACGCAUCACUGGUGUUCGGGUUGUCAUGCCAAUGGCAUUGCCCGGUAGCUAAAUGCGGAAAAGAUAAGCGCUGAAAGCAUCUAAGCGCGAAACUUGCCUCGAGAUGAGUCUUCCCUGGGGCUUUAAGCCCCCUGAAGGAACGUUAAAGACUAUGACGUUGAUAGGCUGGGUGUGUAAGUGCAGCGAUGCAUUGAGCUAACCAGUACUAAUGAUCCGUGAGGCUUAACCUU
Molecule: ribosomal RNA, 2907 nt
Filed under: Yersinia ruckeri
Lineage: Bacteria; Pseudomonadati; Pseudomonadota; Gammaproteobacteria; Enterobacterales; Yersiniaceae
Description: Bacterial large subunit ribosomal RNA
Rfam family: Bacterial large subunit ribosomal RNA
Source: Rfam by way of RNAcentral